GACGAACGCUGGCGGCGUGCCUAAUACAUGCAAGUAGAACGCACAGUUUAUACCGUAGCUUGCUACACCAUAAACUGUGAGUUGCGAACGGGUGAGUAACGCGUAGGUAACCUGCCUGGUAGCGGGGGAUAACUAUUGGAAACGAUAGCUAAUACCGCAUAAUAUUAAUUAUUGCAUGAUAAUUGAUUGAAAGAUGCAAUUGCAUCACUACCAGAUGGACCUGCGUUGUAUUAGCUAGUAGGUGAGGUAACGGCUCACCUAGGCGACGAUACAUAGCCGACCUGGGAGGGUGAUCGGCCACACUGGGACUGGGACACGGCCCAGACUCCUACGGGAGGCAGCAGUAGGGAAUCUUCGGCAAUAGACGAAAGUCUGACCGAGCAACGCCGCGUGAGUGAAGAAGGUUUUCGGAUCGUAAAGCUCUGUUGUAAGAGAAGAACGGGUGUGAGAGUGGAAAGUUCACACUGUGACGGUAUCUUACCAGAAAGGGACGGCUAACUACGUG
This 505-nucleotide ribosomal RNA is filed under the name uncultured bacterium. RNAcentral's name for it is "partial 16S ribosomal RNA". It matches the Rfam family "Bacterial small subunit ribosomal RNA", at positions 28 to 507 of the family's 1533-position model. The record is from RNAcentral.